Molecule: non-coding RNA, 45 nt
Filed under: Schistosoma margrebowiei
Lineage: Eukaryota; Metazoa; Platyhelminthes; Trematoda; Strigeidida; Schistosomatidae
Source: RNAcentral
AUUCAGCUGACAAAGCCCAAAUAGGACGAAAUGCGUGUCCAGAAU